CGUGAUCGGUUACGUACCUUUGAAAUACUCUCGCAUUUAAACUUUCAUUAAAUAAUUUGCAUUACAAAAGGUAAAAACGCAAAAUUCAAGGAACUGGUGUAGGUCUGUGCCAACAUCAUUGGUAAACCUUACGGUAGAAGGAAGACUAGAUGCGACGAGAGAUGAAGGCGGCCCCGAUACCCUACGGAUUUCUCUAAGGGAACGUCGUCCCCCCAGGUGGAUGAAUAAUUACGAGACAGAACAGAGGAGCAGUGAUCUUUAGAUCAGGGGUGGUGGUGGCGUAUGGUGGAAGCAAGACUGGAAGCGACGAGAGAUGACGUCACGUCAGCAAGUGAGAAGAAAAGUUUUCCCCUGCGUUUGGUUUUUCUUGGGGACGCUAGUAACAGACGCCAGUCGUAAAGAGACAGAGGUCAUGGCAACGCUGGUGAAAAAUUAAUCAGUCUGACGGCGGCACAGGAUUACAAGUCGAGGUACAAGGCCUGAAUUUUUUUGGGGAGGGGCCAGUCAAUUUGAUCAACCACAGUACGCAACUGGUACAUAAUUUAUCAACCCUGAAAGGAUAAAAGGCGAAGUCAACCUUGGCAGAAUUUGAACUCAGAAUGUAAAGACAGAUGAAAUACUGCUAUGUGUUUAACCGCCUUUAAAGUAUCACAUUAUUGAAAUAUCAAAGAUCUGAAUACCACCUGAUGAAUGUCCUUAGAAGAGACACGAAACAAUUGUAGUGGCG
This 727-nucleotide long non-coding RNA is filed under the name Octopus sinensis (East Asian common octopus). RNAcentral describes it as "uncharacterized LOC118764791, transcript variant X3". Lineage: Eukaryota; Metazoa; Mollusca; Cephalopoda; Octopoda; Octopodidae. The record is from RNAcentral.